Molecule: ribosomal RNA, 732 nt
Filed under: Triticum aestivum (bread wheat)
Lineage: Eukaryota; Viridiplantae; Streptophyta; Magnoliopsida; Poales; Poaceae
Description: partial small subunit ribosomal RNA
Source: RNAcentral
AUGUCAAGGUAUAACUUCAGUCUGCAGCGCGGGUGCCUCGACGAGCAGCUGGCUUCUUUCAAGAGAGUGCUCGCACGGAUUGCUCCGGGAGAUGCUGCCACCAAGAGGCUCCUGAGCGAAUCCCUGGUUGUCUUUGGCGAAAUCGGCGGCAACGACUACAACUUCUGGUUCUUCGAUCGUAAGCGCAGCCGGUACACAGCCCAGGAGUACAUACCGGACGUGGUUGCCCGCAUAGGCGCCGGCGUCCAAGAGGUGAUCAAGCUCGGUGCCAAGACUGUCCUUGUCCCAGGGAACUUCCCCAUUGGGUGCGUGCCGGUUUACCUCAGAGAUUACAAGAGCAACACGUCCGGGGACUAUGACCAGUUUGGCUGCCUCAAGUGGUUCAACACAUUCUCCCAGAAGCACAACCAGCUACUGAAACAAGAGAUCAGCAUGCUCAAGUCGCAGAACCCCGGCGUGAAGAUCAUCUACGGAGACUACUAUGGCGCCUUCAUGGAGUUUGUCAAGAAUCCUCUCAGGAAUGGCAUUGACAAGCCUCUGGUGGCAUGUUGUGGUGGCAAUGGCCCCUAUGGCACAGGCCAUGAGUGCAACCAGAAGGCGAAGGUUUGCCGCAACCCAUCUAGGUUCACCAACUGGGACCAAAUCCACAUGACGGAGAAGGCAUACAAUGUCAUCGCUAAUGGGGUGCUCAACGGCCCGUACGCCGACACCCCGUUGCUCCACACUUGCUAG